Molecule: ribosomal RNA, 253 nt
Filed under: uncultured bacterium
Lineage: Bacteria
Description: partial 16S ribosomal RNA
Rfam family: Bacterial small subunit ribosomal RNA
Source: RNAcentral
UACGGAGGGUGCAAGCGUUAUCCGGAUUUACUGGGUUUAAAGGGUGCGUAGGUGGGUCUGUAAGUCAGUGGUGAAAUCUCCGGGCUUAACCCGGAAACUGCCAUUGAUACUAUAGGUCUUGAAUAUCCUGGAGGUGAGCGGAAUAUGUCAUGUAGCGGUGAAAUGCUUAGAUAUGACAUAGAACACCAAUUGCGAAGGCAGCUCGCUACACUAUCAUUGACGCUGAGGCACGAAAGCGUGGGGAUCAAACAGG